RNAcentral lists this small nuclear RNA (78 nucleotides) under Canis lupus familiaris (dog). RNAcentral describes it as "U4 spliceosomal RNA". It matches the Rfam family "U4 spliceosomal RNA", at positions 1 to 77 of the family's 138-position model. Rfam says of the family: U4 small nuclear RNA (U4 snRNA) is a component of the major U2-dependent spliceosome. The structure of U4 snRNA from yeast and human has been reported. RNAcentral also lists the same sequence under 1 other name. Lineage: Eukaryota; Metazoa; Chordata; Mammalia; Carnivora; Canidae. The record is from Rfam by way of RNAcentral.
AGCUUUGCGCAGUGGCAGUAUCGUAGCCAAUGAGGUUUAUCCGAGGUGCGAUUAUUGCUAAUUGAAAAACUAAAAAUA